AACGGCCAUACCAUGCUCAAUAUACCGGUUCUCGUUAGAUCACCGAAGUCAAGCAUCAUUGGGCGCGGUCAGUACUUGGGUGGGUGACCACCUGGAAGAACACCGCGUGCCG
Molecule: ribosomal RNA, 112 nt
Filed under: Caerostris darwini
Lineage: Eukaryota; Metazoa; Arthropoda; Arachnida; Araneae; Araneidae
Source: RNAcentral